This 117-nucleotide small RNA is filed under the name Streptomyces yokosukanensis. RNAcentral's name for it is "Streptomyces-metK RNA". It matches the Rfam family "Streptomyces-metK RNA". Lineage: Bacteria; Bacillati; Actinomycetota; Actinomycetes; Kitasatosporales; Streptomycetaceae. The record is from Rfam by way of RNAcentral.
GCGAGACGGGUGGCCCAUCGGCCGAGUGCGACCGAUAAACUGUUCACGGCGACGCCAGGCGCAGCCCCGUGCGUCGUCCGCAAAUGAUCAGCCAGCAGCCGCUGCAACCACAGGGAG